RNAcentral lists this ribosomal RNA (253 nucleotides) under uncultured bacterium. RNAcentral's name for it is "partial 16S ribosomal RNA". It matches the Rfam family "Bacterial small subunit ribosomal RNA", at positions 524 to 776 of the family's 1533-position model. The record is from RNAcentral.
UACAGAGGUCUCGAGCGUUAGGCGGAAUCACUGGUCUUAAAGCGUGUGUAGGCGGAUCGUUAAGUACCUUGUGAAAUCCCACGGCUUAACCGUGGAACUGCUUGGUAUACUGGCGGUCUUGAGCCAGCUAGGGGCUACCGGAACAAAUGGUGGAGCGGUGAAAUGCGUAGAUAUCAUUUGGAACGCCAAUGGUGAAAACAGGUAGCUGGGGCUGUGCUGACGCUGAGACACGAAAGCCAGGGGAGCAAACGGG